This 467-nucleotide ribosomal RNA is filed under the name uncultured bacterium. Its description in RNAcentral is "partial 16S ribosomal RNA". It matches the Rfam family "Bacterial small subunit ribosomal RNA", at positions 28 to 507 of the family's 1533-position model. The record is from RNAcentral.
GACGAACGCUGGCGGCGUGCUUAACACAUGCAAGUCGAACGGAAAGGCCUCUUUCGGGGGGUACUCGAGUGGCGAACGGGUGAGUAACGCGUGAGUAACCUGCCCUUGACUUUGGGAUAACUUCAGGAAACUGGGGCUAAUACCGGAUAGGAGCUCCUGCUGCAUGGUGGGGGUUGGAAAGUUUCGGCGGUUGGGGAUGGACUCGCGGCUUAUCAGCUUGUUGGUGGGGUAGUGGCUUACCAAGGCUUUGACGGGUAGCCGGCCUGAGAGGGUGACCGGCCACAUUGGGACUGAGAUACGGCCCAGACUCCUACGGGAGGCAGCAGGGGGGAAUAUUGCACAAUGGGUGGAAGCCUGAUGCAGCAACGCCGUGUGCGGGAUGACGGCCUUCGGGUUGUAAACCGCUUUCGCUCAUGACGAAGCUUUGUGUGACGGUAGUGGGUAAAGAAGCACCGGCUAACUACGUG